AUUGAACGCUGGCGGCAUGCCUAACACAUGCAAGUCGAACGGCAGCACAGUAAAGACUUCGGUCUUUAUGGGUGGCGAGUGGCGGACGGGUGAGUAACGCGUAGGAAUCUGUCCUGGAGAGUGGGAUAACCCGAGGAAACUCGGGCUAAUACCGCAUGAUAUCGAGAGAUCAAAGGCAGGGGACCCUUCGGGGCCUUGCGCUCUAGGUUGAGCCUACGUCGGAUUAGCUAGUUGGUGGGGUAAAGGCCUACCAAGGCGACGAUCCGUAGCUGGUCUGAGAGGAUGACCAGCCACACUGGGACUGAGACACGGCCCAGACUCCUACGGGAGGAAGCAGUGGGGAAUCUUGGACAAUGGGGGAAACCCUGAUCCAGCGAUGCCGCGUGUGUGAAGAAGGCCUUCGGGUUGUAAAGCACUUUAGGUGGGGAAGAAAGGUAAUGAGUGAAUAACUGAUUGCUCUGACGGUACCCAAAGAAUAAGCACCGGCUAACUCUGUGCCAGCAGCCGCCGCGG
This 513-nucleotide ribosomal RNA is filed under the name uncultured bacterium. RNAcentral describes it as "partial 16S ribosomal RNA". It matches the Rfam family "Bacterial small subunit ribosomal RNA", at positions 30 to 523 of the family's 1533-position model. The record is from RNAcentral.